Molecule: ribosomal RNA, 616 nt
Filed under: Arothron hispidus (white-spotted puffer)
Lineage: Eukaryota; Metazoa; Chordata; Actinopteri; Tetraodontiformes; Tetraodontidae
Description: partial 16S ribosomal RNA
Rfam family: Bacterial large subunit ribosomal RNA
Source: RNAcentral
CGCCUGUUUAUCAAAAACAUCGCCUCUUGCAAAAACAAUGAAUAAGAGGUCCCGCCUGCCCUGUGACUAUACGUUUAACGGCCGCGGUAUUUUGACCGUGCAAAGGUAGCGCAAUCACUUGUCCUUUAAAUGGGGACCUGUAUGAAUGGCACGACGAGGGCUUAGCUGUCUCCUUUUUCAGGUCAGUGAAAUUGAUCCCCCCGUGCAGAAGCGGGGAUAAAAACAUAAGACGAGAAGACCCUAUGGAGCUUUAGACACAAAACAGAUCAUGUCAAACACCCUUAAAUAAAAGAACAAACUAAAUGAGCCCUGUUCAAAUGUCUUUGGUUGGGGCGACCGCGGGGUAAUAAAAAACCCCCAUGUGGAAUAAAAACACUCUUUUUAAAACCAAGAGCUACUGCUCUAAUAAACAGAACAUCUGACCAGCUAUGAUCCGGCCAAGCCGAUCAACGAACCGAGUUACCCUAGGGAUAACAGCGCAAUCCUCUUUUAGAGUCCAUAUCGACAAGAGGGUUUACGACCUCGAUGUUGGAUCAGGACAUCCUAAUGGUGCAGCCGCUAUUAAGGGUUCGUUUGUUCAACGAUUAAAGUCCUACGUGAUCUGAGUUCAGACCGG